RNAcentral lists this ribosomal RNA (23 nucleotides) under Deschampsia brevifolia. RNAcentral's name for it is "partial 26S ribosomal RNA". Lineage: Eukaryota; Viridiplantae; Streptophyta; Magnoliopsida; Poales; Poaceae. The record is from RNAcentral.
GCGACCCCAGGUCAGACGGGACU